Molecule: ribosomal RNA, 483 nt
Filed under: uncultured bacterium
Lineage: Bacteria
Description: partial 16S ribosomal RNA
Rfam family: Bacterial small subunit ribosomal RNA
Source: RNAcentral
AUUGAACGCUAGCGGGAUGCUUUACACAUGCAAGUCGAAUGGCAGCGCGGACUUCGGUCUGGCGGCGAGUGGCGAACGGGUGAGUAAUGUAUCGGAACGUGCCCAGUAGCGGGGGAUAACUACGCGAAAGCGUAGCUAAUACCGCAUACGCCCUACGGGGGAAAGCAGGGGAUCGUAAGACCUUGCACUAUUGGAGCGGCCGAUAUCGGAUUAGCUAGUUGGUGAGGUAACGGCUCACCAAGGCGACGAUCCGUAGCUGGUUUGAGAGGACGACCAGCCACACGGGGAGUGAGAACGGGCCCAAGACCCAAGGGGGGGCAGGGGGGGGGAAUUUUGGAAAAGGGGGGCAACCCUGAACCAGCCACCCCGGGGGGGGGAGGAAGGCCUUUGGGUUGUAAAGCAUUUUGGGGAGGAAAAAAACGGGGCGGGUAAAACCCCCGGGGAACGGAGGGGACCGGAAAAAAAAGCCCGGGCUAAUUAGGG